UACGUAGGUGGCAAGCGUUGUCCGGAUUUACUGGGUGUAAAGGGCGAGUAGGCGGGGCCUCAAGUCUGAUGUGAAAACUAUCGGCUUAACUGAUAGACUGCAUUGGAAACUGAGGUUCUUGAGUGAUGGAGAGGCAGGCGGAAUUCCUAGUGUAGCGGUGAAAUGCGUAGAUAUUAGGAGGAACACCAGUGGCGAAGGCGGCCUGCUGGACAUUAACUGACGCUGAGGCGCGAAAGCGUGGGGAGCAAACAGGAUUAGA
This 259-nucleotide ribosomal RNA is filed under the name uncultured prokaryote. RNAcentral describes it as "partial 16S ribosomal RNA". It matches the Rfam family "Bacterial small subunit ribosomal RNA", at positions 524 to 782 of the family's 1533-position model. The record is from RNAcentral.